Molecule: transfer RNA, 85 nt
Organism: Felis catus (domestic cat)
Lineage: Eukaryota; Metazoa; Chordata; Mammalia; Carnivora; Felidae
Rfam family: tRNA
About the family: Transfer RNA (tRNA) molecules are approximately 80 nucleotides in length. Their secondary structure includes four short double-helical elements and three loops (D, anti-codon, and T loops).
Source: Rfam
GCCUGGGUGGCUCAGUUGGUUGAGCAUCCGACUUCAGCUCAGGUCAUGAUCUCGCGGUUUGUGGGUUUGAGCCCUACGUCGGGCU